Lingula anatina is the source of this 73-nucleotide non-coding RNA. The record is from the annotation of a RefSeq genome assembly. NCBI's taxonomy places the organism in Eukaryota, Metazoa, Brachiopoda, Lingulata, Lingulida, Lingulidae.
CUCGCGAUAGCUCAGUUGGUAGAGCGGAGGACUGUAGAUCCUUAGGUCGCUGGUUCAAAUCCGGCUCGCGAGA